CGUGAUGGUGGACGCGUUCCUUUACCUCCCGUUCCUGAUAUUGUGGAUGGUAAUCUCGAAUUCGAAGUCGAAAAAAUCCUGGACCAUCGUAUUGUGAAAAGCAAGGGUAAAUCUGCUAAGCGUGGCGCUAAGCGAUUCUUCCUGCUUCGUUGGAAAGGCCAGGGUCCUGAGUAUGACUCUUGGGAGCCUGAGUCUAAUCUUACUAACUGCGCUGAUCUCCUGCGUGAUUACUGGGCAUCCUCUCCUGCGACAAAUCCUAUUCCUGGCCCUUCGUCCCAAAACACUCCAGAUAGUGUUCUUCCUGAGUCUCCUCCAGUUGAGACUACUCCUGUCGUGCCUCCAAUUCCUACUCCUGCGCAAACUCCUAUUCCUGAGGUGCGUACUACUCGUUCUGGCCGCGUGAUUCGACCACCUGCCCGGACACUCCUUCUUCUCGCUCUUCUUCGCAGCAAUCCCGUCAGUGAGGCGCUUACUGCUUUGCUCUUACACGGUUAUCCGUGGCGGCGGAAUUGAAGCGGGUCUGUCGAGGACGAACAGACUUUAAGAGGGGGAGAAUGUUAUGAGCAUUCCGUUAAAUACGGUAAUGACUAACAUAUUCUUAUUACUAUUACUUGUAACGCAUAGACGGA
This 629-nucleotide long non-coding RNA is filed under the name Volvox carteri. RNAcentral describes it as "long non-coding RNA (VCAR_LNC000120)". The record is from RNAcentral. Lineage: Eukaryota; Viridiplantae; Chlorophyta; Chlorophyceae; Chlamydomonadales; Volvocaceae.